Molecule: transfer RNA, 48 nt
Filed under: Calamus neelagiricus
Lineage: Eukaryota; Viridiplantae; Streptophyta; Magnoliopsida; Arecales; Arecaceae
Description: partial tRNA-His
Source: RNAcentral
CAAUAAUGAUGAAUGGAAAAAAGAGAAAAUCCUUUAGCUAGAUAAGGG